AGACAGCAGCAGCCGCGGGAAUACGUAGGUGGCAAGCGUUGUCCGGAAUUAUUGGGCGUAAAGCGCGCGCAGGUGGUUUCUUAAGUCUGAUGUGAAAGCCCCCGGCUCAACCGGGGAGGGUCAUUGGAAACUGGGAAACUUGGGUGCAGAAGAGGAGAGUGGAAUUCCACGUGUAGCGGUGAAAUGCGUAGAGAUGUGGAGGAACACCAGUGGCGAAGGCGACUCUCUGGUCUGUAACUGACGCUGAGGAGCGAAAGCGUGGGGAGCGAACAGGAUUAGAUACCCCCGUAGUCCCUGUCUCUUAUAA
RNAcentral lists this ribosomal RNA (307 nucleotides) under uncultured bacterium. RNAcentral's name for it is "partial 16S ribosomal RNA". It matches the Rfam family "Bacterial small subunit ribosomal RNA", at positions 506 to 809 of the family's 1533-position model. The record is from RNAcentral.